UCAUGUUUAGGACAAGUGGGCAGGU
This 25-nucleotide non-coding RNA is filed under the name Cricetulus griseus (Chinese hamster). Lineage: Eukaryota; Metazoa; Chordata; Mammalia; Rodentia; Cricetidae. The record is from RNAcentral.